AACGAACGCUGGCGGCAGGCUUAACACAUGCAAGUCGAGCGCCCCGCAAGGGGAGCGGCAGACGGGUGAGUAACGCGUGGGAAUCUACCUAUCACUACGGAACAACUCCGGGAAACUGGAGCUAAUACCGUAUACGUCCGAGAGGAGAAAGAUUUAUCGGUGAUAGAUGAGCCCGCGUUGGAUUAGCUAGUUGGUGGGGUAAUGGCCUACCAAGGCGACGAUCCAUAGCUGGUCUGAGAGGAUGAUCAGCCACACUGGGACUGAGACACGGCCCAGACUCCUACGGGAGGCAGCAGUGGGGAAUAUUGGACAAUGGGCGAAAGCCUGAUCCAGCCAUGCCGCGUGAGUGAUGAAGGCCUUAGGGUGUAAAGCUCUUUCACCGGUGAAGAUAAUGACGGUAACCGGAGAAGAAGCCCCGGCUAACUUCGUGCCAGCAGCCGCG
This 442-nucleotide ribosomal RNA is filed under the name uncultured bacterium. RNAcentral describes it as "bacterial SSU rRNA". It matches the Rfam family "Bacterial small subunit ribosomal RNA", at positions 29 to 519 of the family's 1533-position model. The record is from RNAcentral.